AGUGCAUUUGUUGGGUCAUAUGGUGGUUCUAGUCCUACUUUCUUGAAGGAUGUCCAUAUUUCUUUCCAGAGUGAUUGAACUAAUUUGCAGUCCCACAAAUAAU
RNAcentral lists this microRNA precursor (103 nucleotides) under Marmota monax (woodchuck). The record is from RNAcentral. Lineage: Eukaryota; Metazoa; Chordata; Mammalia; Rodentia; Sciuridae.